Molecule: long non-coding RNA, 243 nt
Filed under: Elaeis guineensis (African oil palm)
Lineage: Eukaryota; Viridiplantae; Streptophyta; Magnoliopsida; Arecales; Arecaceae
Description: long non-coding RNA (EGUI_LNC058730)
Source: RNAcentral
GAGAUAACCAAGGUGACUUGUAAGCAACUUACUAUGCUUUAAUGCCAGACCAUCUAAAUUUUUAAUUCAGUUAUGAAAGAUUUUUGGGUACAGUCAAGUAUUUAUCAAGUCGGUGCUUGAGUCAAAAUGAGAUUGACCCCUUUGAAUAAGUAGGAGUUAAUACAUCAGUAUCUUUCAAUUUAGUAAAAUCUUAGUCAAGAUAAAUCAUGUGAUGAAUUUAAAAAGUUGAAAUACAAUGUGGUC